CUCACAGGGAGUGGAGUGUGUAGGGGAUGUGUUAUUGUAGAGGAUCUAAUAUGUGUGCUUAUGGUAUGUAGUGUAUAUGGAUACCAGUUUGUGCAGGUGAUGCAGUGUGUUUGUGUGUAGUGGAAGCAGUGUGUAUUAGUGUAUAAGGGAUGUAUUGUGUGUUUCUGGUUGUGUGUAAGGGAUGCAUUGUGUGAAUCUGUGUUUGUAUGCAUAAGGGAUGCAAGGUG
Pelobates cultripes (western spadefoot toad) is the source of this 227-nucleotide non-coding RNA. The record is from the annotation of a GenBank genome assembly. Lineage: Eukaryota; Metazoa; Chordata; Amphibia; Anura; Pelobatidae.